CCUACGGGAGGCAGCAGUGGGGAAUAUUGCACAAUGGGGGAAACCCUGAUGCAGCGACGCCGCGUGAGUGAAGAAGUAAUUCGUUAUGUAAAGCUCUAUCGGCAGGGAAGAAAAUGACGGUACCUGAGUAAGAAGCCCCGGCUUACUACGUGCCAGCAGCCGCGGUAAUAUGUAGGGGGCAAGCGUUAUCCGGAUGUACUGGGUGUAAAGGGGGCGUAGACGGCAGUGCAAAUCUGGAGUGAAAGGCGGGGGCUCAAACCCCGGACUGCUCUGGAAACUGUCGGGCUGGAGUGGGAGAGAGGUAAGUGGAAUUCGUAGUGGAGCGGUGAAAUGCGUAGAUAUUAGGAGGAACACCAGUGGCGAAGGCGGCUUACUGGACUGUAACUGACGUUGAGGCUCGAAAGCGUGGGGAGCAAACAGGAUUAGAUACCCCUGUAGUC
RNAcentral lists this ribosomal RNA (440 nucleotides) under uncultured bacterium. Its description in RNAcentral is "partial 16S ribosomal RNA". It matches the Rfam family "Bacterial small subunit ribosomal RNA", at positions 338 to 795 of the family's 1533-position model. The record is from RNAcentral.